This 459-nucleotide ribosomal RNA is filed under the name uncultured bacterium. RNAcentral describes it as "partial 16S ribosomal RNA". It matches the Rfam family "Bacterial small subunit ribosomal RNA", at positions 338 to 795 of the family's 1533-position model. The record is from RNAcentral.
GCUACGGGAGGCAGCAGUGAGGAAUAUUGGGCAAUGGCCGGAAGGCUGAACCAGCCAAGCCGCGUGAAGGACGACGGUGCCAAGCAUUGUAAACUUCUUUUGUCAAGGGACAAAAUCAGGCUCGAGAGCCUGACCGAGGGUACUUGAAGAAAAAGCAUCGGCUAACUCCGUGACAGCAGCCGCGGUAAUACGGGGGAUGCGAGCGUUAUCCGGAUUUAUUGGGUUUAAAGGGUGCGUAGGCGGGCUGUUAAGUCAGCGGUAAAAGUACGGGGCUCAACCCCGGCGCGCCGUUGAACCUGGGUGUCUUGAGAUGUCGAGAGGUAUGCGGAAUGCGCAGUGUAGCGGUGAAAUGCUUAGAUAUUGCGCAGAACUCCGAUUGCGAAGGCAGCAUACCGGCGGCGAUCUGACGCUGAGGCACGAAAGCGUGGGUAUCGAACAGGAUUAGAUACCCCAGUAGUC